This 253-nucleotide ribosomal RNA is filed under the name uncultured bacterium. Its description in RNAcentral is "partial 16S ribosomal RNA". It matches the Rfam family "Bacterial small subunit ribosomal RNA", at positions 524 to 776 of the family's 1533-position model. The record is from RNAcentral.
UACGUAGGGUGCAAGCGUUAAUCGGAAUUACUGGGCGUAAAGGGUGCGCAGGCGGUUUUGUAAGCCAGAUGUGAAAUCCCCGGGCUCAACCUGGGAAUGGCAUUUGGGACUGCAAGGCUAGAGUGUGGCAGAGGAGACUGGAAUUCCUGGUGUAGCAGUGAAAUGCGUAGAUAUCAGGAGGAAUACCGAUGGCGAAGGCAGGUCUCUGGGUUAACACUGACGCUCAUGCACGAAAGCGUGGGGAGCAAACAGG